Molecule: ribosomal RNA, 453 nt
Filed under: uncultured bacterium
Lineage: Bacteria
Description: bacterial SSU rRNA
Rfam family: Bacterial small subunit ribosomal RNA
Source: RNAcentral
UACGGAAGGCAGCAGUGGGGAAUAUUGCACAAUGGGCGAAAGCCUGAUGCAGCUAUGCCGCGUGUAUGAAGAAGGCCUUAGGGUUGUAAAGUACUUUCAUCGGGGAGGAAAAACAAAACUAAUAAUUUUAUUUCUUGACGUUACCCGAAAAAGAAGCACCGGCUAACUCCGUGCCAGCAGCCGCGGUAAUACGGAGGGUGCUAGCGUUAAUCAGAAUUACUGGGCGUAAAGAGCACGUAGGUGGUUUUUUUAAGUCAGAUGUGAAAUCCCUGGGCUUAACCUGGAACUGCAUUUUGAAACUGAAAUACUAGAGUAUCGUAGAGGGAGGUAGAAUUCUAGGUGUAGCGGUGAAAUGCGUAGAUAUCUGGAGGAAUACCUGUGGCGAAAGCGGCCUCCUAAACGAAUACUGACACUGAGGUGCGAAAGCGUGGGGAGCAAACAGGGAUUAGAUAC